This 404-nucleotide ribosomal RNA is filed under the name Paracapnia opis. RNAcentral describes it as "partial 12S ribosomal RNA". The stretch from base 50 to 404 matches the Rfam family "Microsporidia small subunit ribosomal RNA", at positions 752 to 1207 of the family's 1311-position model. The record is from RNAcentral. Lineage: Eukaryota; Metazoa; Arthropoda; Insecta; Plecoptera; Capniidae.
UAAACUACGAUUAGAUACCCUAUUAUUUUAAAUGUAAAUGUUCAGGCUUGAGUAGUAAUAGUUAUGUUCUUGAAACUCAAAGAAUUUGGCGGUGUUUUAGUCUUUUCAGAGGAACCUGUCCCGUAAUCGAUAAUCCACGUAUAACCUUACUUAACUUGGUUUCAGCUUGUAUACCGCCGUCGUCAGCAUGUCCUUGAAAGGUUAAAAUUUUCUUAAAUUUUUAUUAAAAAUGAUGUCAGGUCAAGGUGCAGUUUAUGGUUAAGUGGUGAUGGGUUACAAUAAAUUUAUUUAAAAACGGAUUUUAACUUGCAAUAGUUAUUUGAAGGUGGAUUUGAUAGUAAUUUAGUUAAUUAAGAUAAUUUGAUUUUAGCUCUAAAACAUGCACACAUCGCCCGUCGCUCUUA